This is a long non-coding RNA of Schistocerca piceifrons (Central American locust), 335 nucleotides long. RefSeq lists it as uncharacterized. The transcript is spliced from 3 exons. Lineage: Eukaryota; Metazoa; Arthropoda; Insecta; Orthoptera; Acrididae. The record is from RefSeq and is a predicted model, not a curated record.
GGCGUGUAGCAGCGUGCGGCUCAGUCCAGCCUCUCGGCGAGAACACCGGAGACAGCCCACCAGCCGCCACACAGAUGAGGCCUGCCACCACCACCACUGCCACCGCCGCCGCCCCCGCCGCCGCCACCUCUGCCAGCGCACCUCGCCAGACACCUGCUGCUGCGCGGCCCACGACUCCUCAACCUGAUGAGGCCACUGUCUCUCAAAUGCGGUUCUCCCGGUUGUCCCAGGUCGUGUACACCCUGGAGUAUGAGCCCAACCACAUUAUUUAAACACUGCUACCAGAAUAAACACUGUUCAACGUAAGCAGCGUUUGUCGUUUGUGGACAGAGUAA